Molecule: ribosomal RNA, 1459 nt
Filed under: Staphylococcus aureus M0332
Lineage: Bacteria; Bacillati; Bacillota; Bacilli; Caryophanales; Staphylococcaceae
Description: bacterial SSU rRNA
Rfam family: Bacterial small subunit ribosomal RNA
Source: RNAcentral
AGAGUUUGAUCCUGGCUCAGGAUGAACGCUGGCGGCGUGCCUAAUACAUGCAAGUCGAGCGAACGGACGAGAAGCUUGCUUCUCUGAUGUUAGCGGCGGACGGGUGAGUAACACGUGGAUAACCUACCUAUAAGACUGGGAUAACUUCGGGAAACCGGAGCUAAUACCGGAUAAUAUUUUGAACCGCAUGGUUCAAAAGUAAAAGACGGUCUUGCUGUCACUUAUAGAUGGAUCCGCGCUGCAUUAGCUAGUUGGUAAGGUAACGGCUUACCAAGGCAACGAUGCAUAGCCGACCUGAGAGGGUGAUCGGCCACACUGGAACUGAGACACGGUCCAGACUCCUACGGGAGGCAGCAGUAGGGAAUCUUCCGCAAUGGGCGAAAGCCUGACGGAGCAACGCCGCGUGAGUGAUGAAGGUCUUCGGAUCGUAAAACUCUGUUAUUAGGGAAGAACAUAUGUGUAAGUAACUGUGCACAUCUUGACGGUACCUAAUCAGAAAGCCACGGCUAACUACGUGCCAGCAGCCGCGGUAAUACGUAGGUGGCAAGCGUUAUCCGGAAUUAUUGGGCGUAAAGCGCGCGUAGGCGGUUUUUUAAGUCUGAUGUGAAAGCCCACGGCUCAACCGUGGAGGGUCAUUGGAAACUGGAAAACUUGAGUGCAGAAGAGGAAAGUGGAAUUCCAUGUGUAGCGGUGAAAUGCGCAGAGAUAUGGAGGAACACCAGUGGCGAAGGCGACUUUCUGGUCUGUAACUGACGCUGAUGUGCGAAAGCGUGGGGAUCAAACAGGAUUAGAUACCCUGGUAGUCCACGCCGUAAACGAUGAGUGCUAAGUGUUAGGGGGUUUCCGCCCCUUAGUGCUGCAGCUAACGCAUUAAGCACUCCGCCUGGGGAGUACGACCGCAAGGUUGAAACUCAAAGGAAUUGACGGGGACCCGCACAAGCGGUGGAGCAUGUGGUUUAAUUCGAAGCAACGCGAAGAACCUUACCAAAUCUUGACAUCCUUUGACAACUCUAGAGAUAGAGCCUUCCUCUUCGGGGGACAAAGUGACAGGUGGUGCAUGGUUGUCGUCAGCUCGUGUCGUGAGAUGUUGGGUUAAGUCCCGCAACGAGCGCAACCCUUAAGCUUAGUUGCCAUCAUUAAGUUGGGCACUCUAAGUUGACUGCCGGUGACAAACCGGAGGAAGGUGGGGAUGACGUCAAAUCAUCAUGCCCCUUAUGAUUUGGGCUACACACGUGCUACAAUGGACAAUACAAAGGGCAGCGAAACCGCGAGGUCAAGCAAAUCCCAUAAAGUUGUUCUCAGUUCGGAUUGUAGUCUGCAACUCGACUACAUGAAGCUGGAAUCGCUAGUAAUCGUAGAUCAGCAUGCUACGGUGAAUACGUUCCCGGGUCUUGUACACACCGCCCGUCACACCACGAGAGUUUGUAACACCCGAAGCCGGUGGAGUAACCUUUUAGGA